This 21-nucleotide unclassified non-coding RNA is filed under the name Dictyostelium discoideum. The record is from RNAcentral. Lineage: Eukaryota; Evosea; Eumycetozoa; Dictyosteliales; Dictyosteliaceae.
ACCUGAUGCAACACUACUUGG